AUGGAGGUUGCCUACCCCUACGGCGGGGAGCUCACGAGGAAACACGGCUUCGUGACAGGGCAGCCGUUUGACGCCAAGACCGGCAUCACCUCCGGCCCCAAGCGCGCGAGGGAGAUGGAGAUCCUUCGGCAGCGCUUCCAAGCAGAGCUCGUCGCCGUCCGUGGCCUCCUCCACAAGGCGGCCGCCGUGCUAGUUCCCGCCUUGUCCCCGUCGGCACCCCGCGUGCGCAGUCGUCCAGGGUUCUUGGCCGAGGAGGAGGAGCCGCCGGUCAAGAAGAGGAAGGCGUCUCCUCCCGUUCCUGUGAUCAAUCGCAAGAAGGCUCCAACGAAGAAGAAGAUGACGGCCUCUGAGAGGGAGAUGUUCGCGGAAGACCUGGAGCUGUUCGUUGCGGAAAUCCCCGAUCACCUCGUCGAGCUCUUGAAGAAGCACAGCUGCGCCACCCGUCCCGGCGAAAUCGAGAUCGACGUCCACGCGUUGGACGACGCCGCCGUCGUCGAGUUACAGGAGCAGGUUGACAAGUUCGCUCGAGAGAAGAGGGCGGCGAAUCCGUCGCCGCAAGAAUGGCACCAAGACGGCCCUACGGUGAUGGCCGAAGAGGGAGAGGAGGACGAAGAAGUUGACAUCUGUGGCGGCGUCUCCCCCUUAGCGAUCGUGCCGCAACGUCCGCUGCAAGAACGGCACCAAGACGGCCCUAAGUCCAUGGCCGAAGAGGAGGAGGAGGAGGAAGAUGUUGACAUCUGCGGUGGCGUCUCCCCGUUACCGAUCGUGCCGGCACCUCUGCUGCUCGUCGAAGAUGAAACAGCCAGCGGCAGCCCAAGCUCCAGCAGCAGCAGUUCGGAUACUGAUUCCAGCGACAGUGAUUCAGAUACUGAUUCCGGCAGCAGCGACUCGGGUUCAGAACACUCCGGCGGAAGUGACUCAGAUUCUGAUUCAGAUGAGAUCGUCGACAGCCCAGCUCCGGCCAUCACGCCUCCAACAGGCGAGCAGCUCGCCCGUGCUCUGGAAAGGCAGCGAAAGGAGGCCACGUCCAGGGCGAGGGAGAAGGCCCGUCAGGAGGUGCUUCAGACGGAGAAGAUGGCAAUGCCCGACGAUACUCUGCACCCAGAGGACCUGAAGAGGCUCGGCAUUGAUGAGUACAACACGGCGAGACCGAACAACUUGUUGCGGCAAAUUGGACUCUUCCGCAAGCUUGACGACGACGACUGGAAGCAGCAGCAGCAUUAUCAUCAUCGUCAAAGCUUCGAAGAAGACCUAGAGGAAGGCGAGAUUCGGUCGUGA
RNAcentral lists this ribosomal RNA (1278 nucleotides) under Triticum aestivum (bread wheat). RNAcentral describes it as "partial small subunit ribosomal RNA". Lineage: Eukaryota; Viridiplantae; Streptophyta; Magnoliopsida; Poales; Poaceae. The record is from RNAcentral.